CUUAACACAUUCAAGUCGAUAAAAGAUGGUAUUUUUAAUGGCGUUUUUAAUGGCAGACGGGUGAGUAAUGCAUAAGAACUUAUCUUUAAAAGGGAAACAACAAACAAUUGUUAAUAACCCAAAUGCUAAGGAACAAAAGAAGAAAUUAAUCUGAGGAGGAGCUCAUGUCUGAUUAGUUAGUGAGAUAAUAGCUUAUCAAGGUGAUGAUCAGUAGCUAAUCCGAAAGGAUGAUCAGCUACACUGGAACUGAGACACGAUCCAACAACUACAGGAGACGGCACUGGG
RNAcentral lists this non-coding RNA (285 nucleotides) under Nicotiana tabacum (common tobacco). RNAcentral describes it as "Bacterial small subunit ribosomal RNA". It matches the Rfam family "Bacterial small subunit ribosomal RNA", at positions 47 to 358 of the family's 1533-position model. Lineage: Eukaryota; Viridiplantae; Streptophyta; Magnoliopsida; Solanales; Solanaceae. The record is from Rfam by way of RNAcentral.